This 495-nucleotide ribosomal RNA is filed under the name uncultured bacterium. Its description in RNAcentral is "partial 16S ribosomal RNA". It matches the Rfam family "Bacterial small subunit ribosomal RNA", at positions 28 to 507 of the family's 1533-position model. The record is from RNAcentral.
GACGAACGCUGGCGGCGUGCCUAAUACAUGCCAGUAGAACGCUGAAGGCGGAGCUUGCUUCUCUGGAUGAGUUGCGAACGGGUGAGUAACGCGUAGGUCACCUGCCUGGUAGCGGGGGAUAACUAUGGGAAACGAUAGCUAAUACCGCAUAAGUGUAGAUGUUGCAUUACAUUUGCUUAAAAUCUGCAAUUCCAUCUCUACCAGAUCGACCUGCGUUGUAUUAGCCCGUUGGUGGGGUCAAGGCUCACCAACGCGACGAUACAUAGCCGACGUGAGAGGGUGGUCGGCCACAAUGGGGCAGGGACACGGCCCAGACUCCUGCGGGGGGCAGGAGUAGGGAAUCUUCGGCAAUGGGCGGAAGUCUGGCCGAGCAACGCCGCGUGAGUGAAGAAGGUUUUCGGAUCGUAAAGCUCUGUUGUAAGAGAAGGACGGGUGUUAGAGUGGAAAGUUCACGCUGUGACGGUAUCUUACCAGAAAGGAACGGCUAACUACGUG